This 869-nucleotide ribosomal RNA is filed under the name uncultured archaeon. RNAcentral's name for it is "bacterial SSU rRNA". It matches the Rfam family "Archaeal small subunit ribosomal RNA", at positions 1 to 878 of the family's 1478-position model. The record is from RNAcentral.
CUCCGGUUGAUCCCGCCGGACCUGACUGCUAUCGGAUUGGUACUAAGCCAUGCGAGUCGUUGUAGCAAUACAAGGCGGACGGCUCAGUAACACGUAGUCAACCUAACCUAUGGACGUGGAUAACCUCGGGAAACUGAGAAUAAACCGCGAUAGAUCAUUAUGCCUGGAAUGGCUUAUGGUUCAAACAAUUUAUUGCCGUAGGAUGGGACUGCGGCCUAUCAGCUUGUUGGUGAGGUAAUGGCCCACCAAGGCUAUAACAGGUACGGGCUCUGAGAGGAGAAGCCCGGAGAUGGGUACUGAGACACGGACCCAGGCCCUAUGGGGCGCAGCAGGCGAGAAACCUUAGCAAUGUGCGAAAGCACGACUAGGUUAAUCCGAGUGAUUUCUGUUGAAGAAAUCUUUUGUCAGUCGUAAAACCACAGACGAAUAAGGGGUGGGCAAGUCUGGUGUCAGCCGCCGCGGUAAUACCAGCACCUCGAGUGGUCAGGAGGUUUAUUGGGCCUAAAGCAUCCGUAGCCGGCUACGCAAGUCUCCGGUUAAAUCCAGCUGCUCAACAGAUGGGCUGCCGGAGAUACUACAUAGCUAGGGAGCGGGAGAGGUAGACGGUAUUCUGUGGGUAGGGGUAAAAUCCACUGAUCCAUAGAGGACCACCAGUGGCGAAGGCGGUCUACCAGAACGCGUUCGACGGUGAGGGAUGAAAGCUGGGGGAGCAAACCGGAUUAGAUACCCGGGUAGUCCCAGCUGUAAACGAUGCAAACUCGGUGAUGCAUUGGCUUAUGGCCAAUGCAGUGCCGCAGGGAAGCCGUUAAGUUUGCCGCCUGGGAAGUACGGACGCAAGUCUGAAACUUAAAGGAAUUGGGCGGGGAGCA